GCCUAAAACAGACAAUAGUGCAAACAACGCUCCCAUUUCUGUGUCCAUGUUGUUGUCUACAGUGCUGUCCUCCGGUAGCGUUAAAGCCAUGUGUUAUAGUCAUGUGAUAGAGGCUUGACGAAUAAGGGAAGGAUACGCAAUGACACAAAAGCCCCAAUCAGGUAGCGAAUCUCAGCAGUCCUGCCUCCGUUUUCAGAUGUCUCCGUUUUCCAUCAUCCACAUUGAGACGGAGCAGCAGCGUUUCAGAAUGAAAACGGCCUCUCCAGCGUU
This 270-nucleotide long non-coding RNA is filed under the name Danio rerio (zebrafish). RNAcentral describes it as "lncRNA si:ch1073-121p1.1 (ENSDARG00000101819.2)". The record is from RNAcentral. Lineage: Eukaryota; Metazoa; Chordata; Actinopteri; Cypriniformes; Danionidae.